This is a long non-coding RNA of Pieris napi, 1433 nucleotides long. RefSeq lists it as uncharacterized. NCBI's taxonomy places the organism in Eukaryota, Metazoa, Arthropoda, Insecta, Lepidoptera, Pieridae. The transcript is spliced from 2 exons. The record is from RefSeq and is a predicted model, not a curated record.
UAGACCUAAAAUAAUUUAUAAAUACAUAAUCAUUAUUAAAUAAAACACAAAUCAAUAAAGAAAUUUAUAUAACUUCAUUGAUUUUGUCACAUAUUGUAUUCGUUACCUACUACCUAGUUGUAUUUAUUUGGUUCUUAUAAUAGAAAUAGUAAAACAACUUUAUUAUUAAAUGUUAUCUGCAAUCAGUAUUAGUUACAUAAGUAUAAGAUAAAAAAAAUUGCGACUAAAUUACUCAUUGCAAUGUUUAAGAUAAUAUACAAUCCUAUCUUUACAUAAAUAUUGACUUUUAAAAUUAUCAGCAUCCUCGUGACCCGGCAAUGUGACCUGAACUUACUUCGUUAUUUAUAAAAUAAUGAAAUUACAAUAUUGCUAAAAAAUAUUGUAUUGCUGUAGAUAACAAUAAUAAAAAUACAUGAAUUUGCAUUUCUUAAUAAGUAGCAUAUAAAUGAUCAAAAUAAAACCGUCAGUAUCGUCUGUUUGCUUUCUUAUAUAAAUGUAUGAUAAUAUUUUUUUACCAACGUUUUACAGUAAAUAACUUGGGUUAGGAAGUAUACCAGACAUAACCGCGGGAGGACGUGUGUGAAUUUUAAUAAUGUUCGUAGCUACGACGCAUGUAGACGACCUCAGGGAUGAGAGUGGAAUGCUAAAGCCACUAGGGCAACACUGCUACCAAUAUAUAUAGCUGCUGCUCUAAUCUACGCCUGCAGGAAAUUUAUUCGAUACUAUGACAAUGAUUUCCUGUACACACAAUUGACCGGAUUACAUACAUACAUUUGGUGCAUUAUCGAAACGAAAAUUAACCUCAUUUUUCAUAUACCUAUUGUAAGCCUUAAAUAGCUGUUUAAUGUUUUGUCUUUAUGAUUUAUUUUUGUCACAUUUUGUUUAACAUGACGUAACCAAUUCUGUGUGUAAAAGGUAUAUAAAUAAGACCGUUCCUAAGGUCCUGACUAAGGAAGACCAAGCCGCAAUAAUUAGCUACUAGGGACAAUAUAAAGAAUUCAAGAAAAGGUAAAAUGUGCGUGUAACUUUUGUUAUUUUAUUAUAUUUUGAGCUUUAAUUUGUCUUGAAUAAAAUUGACAUGUAUAUAAUUGAUUUUACAUAUAUGCGUAUAUAGAUUUGACAUGAUUUGAUUGUUACACGAUCAUGUUAAGAUUAUUUUAUAACUUUAUAGACUGUUUUAUAGAGAACAUGUGUUACAUUCAAUUAUUAUCAGAUCCUGCCAUGAAAGGCUUGUAGAACUUUGUCUGUGGCAUCGAUACGACUUUUUUUAUAACGAUUAUGAUUAAUAAAGCUGUAUUUUUAACAUUAAAGUAUAACCGAUUUCAAAACAGGGCUCUGUUUCUCUUUUGUAUUAAAACGAUAAAUGAACGUGAGCGUAUAGCAUAGAAACAAGACAUUUAUAUAAUGUUCGGGCUAAUUAGGUGUUGUUCACA